CCUCGUGGGUGCAAGAGCUGAAUGGCCAGC
This 30-nucleotide non-coding RNA is filed under the name Mus musculus (house mouse). The record is from RNAcentral. Lineage: Eukaryota; Metazoa; Chordata; Mammalia; Rodentia; Muridae.